RNAcentral lists this long non-coding RNA (673 nucleotides) under Sorghum bicolor (sorghum). RNAcentral's name for it is "long non-coding RNA (SBIC_LNC002652)". The record is from RNAcentral. Lineage: Eukaryota; Viridiplantae; Streptophyta; Magnoliopsida; Poales; Poaceae.
CAUGAUCCAAAUAAUUAUUAAAAAUCAUAAACCACUGCCAUGCAAGCCUUUAAAUCACUAUAAAUUCAUUUAUACACCAAAUAAUGUGUAGCAACAUUUUCCCAGUGACUAACCAUCCAUGCAGAGCCAGCAAAUCAAGUUUCAUAUUUUUCUGAGUUAUAUUCUAAUUACUAUACAUUUUCCAAUCCCAGCAAAAAUAUGGAUUAAAUAUAUUUAUACAGAAAAGUUGUUCAAACAUGAUAUGCAACCACAUCAAACCAUAGAUCUGGAAUUACAGAGCUCAUCAAAAUUUAUUUCACCAGAUUUGGAGCUGUAGAACUCAAGAUAUGGAUUUUAUAACUGUUAAAUCAAUUUUUGAAAAUUAUUUUCUGAAAACCAAUUCGAAAUCAGGCUCAAAAACACUAAAGACACCCAGAUCUACACCCAACUCGGUCCCCCUGCGAUUGACAGUGGGCCUCUGACCCCACUGGUCAGUGUGAUCGAGAGGGAGGACACCUCCGACGAGCGGAUCUCGCCGGCGGUGAGGUCCCCGGCCACGGGGUGAGCACCAUCGUGCUCCCCGCAGCGAGGCGCACCUAGGGGUUCCCUCGGAUUGGCCGGAGGAUGGCCGGAACACCUCCGACGAGCGUGCAUGGCGGCACGGCGGCGCUGCUCGCCGUGGCCAGGCCGCUUC